RNAcentral lists this ribosomal RNA (465 nucleotides) under Vreelandella stevensii. RNAcentral describes it as "partial 16S ribosomal RNA". It matches the Rfam family "Bacterial small subunit ribosomal RNA", at positions 338 to 795 of the family's 1533-position model. The record is from RNAcentral. Lineage: Bacteria; Pseudomonadati; Pseudomonadota; Gammaproteobacteria; Oceanospirillales; Halomonadaceae.
CCUACGGGAGGCUGCAGUGGGGAAUAUUGGACAAUGGGGGGAACCCUGAUCCAGCCAUGCCGCGUGUGUGAAGAAGGCCCUCGGGUUGUAAAGCACUUUCAGUGAGGAAGAACGCCUGGUGGUUAAUACCCAUCAGGAAAGACAUCACUCACAGAAGAAGCACCGGCUAACUCCGUGCCAGCAGCCGCGGUAAUACGGAGGGUGCGAGCGUUAAUUGGAAUUACUGGGCGUAAAGCGCGCGUAGGUGGCUUGAUAAGCCGGUUGUGAAAGCCCCGGGCUCAACCUGGGAACGGCAUCCGGAACUGUCAAGCUAGAGUGCAGGAGAGGAAGGUAGAAUUCCCGGUGUAGCGGUGAAAUGCGUAGAGAUCGGGAGGAAUACCAGUGGCGAAGGCGGCCUUCUGGACUGACACUGACACUGAGGUGCGAAAGCGUGGGUAGCAAACAGGAUUAGAUACCCGUGUAGUC